Molecule: transfer RNA, 72 nt
Filed under: Nanger granti (Grant's gazelle)
Lineage: Eukaryota; Metazoa; Chordata; Mammalia; Artiodactyla; Bovidae
Description: tRNA-Gln
Rfam family: tRNA
About the family: Transfer RNA (tRNA) molecules are approximately 80 nucleotides in length.
Source: RNAcentral
UAGAAUUUGGUGUAUUUGGGAGCACGAAGAGUUUUGGGCUCUUAAGAGUAGGUUCAAUUCCUAUAGUUCUAG